GGCCAACCGGUUUUUCGGAAUUCUGGGCGUAAAGCGCACGCAGGCGGUUUGUUAGUCAGAUGUGAAAUCCCCGGGCUCAACCUGGGAACUGCAUCUGAUACUGGCAAGCUUGAGUCUCGUAGAGGGGGGUAGAAUUCCAGGUGUAGCGGUGAAAUGCGUAGAGAUCUGGAGGAAUACCGGUGGCGAAGGCGGCCCCCUGGACGAAGACUGACGCUCAGGUGCGAAAGCGUGGGGAGCAAACAGGAUUAGAUACCCUGGUAGUCCACGCCGUAAACGAUGUCGACUUGGAGGUUGUGCCCUUGAGGCGUGGCUUCCGGAGCUAACGCGUUAAGUCGACCGCCUGGGGAGUACGGCCGCAAGGUUAAAACUCAAAUGAAUUGACGGGGGCCCGCACAAGCGGUGGAGCAUGUGGUUUAAUUCGAUGCAACGCGAAGAACCUUACCUGGUCUUGAC
Molecule: ribosomal RNA, 453 nt
Filed under: uncultured Shigella sp.
Lineage: Bacteria; Pseudomonadati; Pseudomonadota; Gammaproteobacteria; Enterobacterales; Enterobacteriaceae
Description: bacterial SSU rRNA
Rfam family: Bacterial small subunit ribosomal RNA
Source: RNAcentral